Dromaius novaehollandiae (emu) is the source of this 382-nucleotide long non-coding RNA. RefSeq lists it as uncharacterized. Lineage: Eukaryota; Metazoa; Chordata; Aves; Casuariiformes; Dromaiidae. The transcript is spliced from 3 exons. The record is from RefSeq and is a predicted model, not a curated record.
CAGGGCCAAUGCUUGACAUUCAUGAAUGCACGAAUGUUGUACUGGAUGCAGAAGAUGGACUCUCUGAAAGAUCUCAAAGCCAGCAAUGUCCAGAACACCAAUGAAGUACUGUCUGGGUUGUUUGGUAUCCAGCUGCUGGUUGAUGCGAACAACCAUCCACAAGAACAUCCUUUCAUAGACUGCCUUUGCAAGAGCACCUACAGCAUUGUGCACCUAAAGCACAGGGAGAUGUCUGGAGUUACCAAAGAGAGUGGAGAUCUGGCAAGGAAGAGAGAAGGAGUUACACACAAGACAGUGCACAGUGCACAGAGGUGGAAAUGUGGGAAGAAAUGUUAUCAGGCAAGGAAGCUCUCAUACAUGUUUCAAUGUCAGCAGAAGCCAG